UUCGAAACAUUAAUAACAACGCCGUGGUC
RNAcentral lists this small RNA (29 nucleotides) under Bombyx mori (domestic silkworm). Its description in RNAcentral is "ovarian small RNA-37360". Lineage: Eukaryota; Metazoa; Arthropoda; Insecta; Lepidoptera; Bombycidae. The record is from RNAcentral.